RNAcentral lists this transfer RNA (67 nucleotides) under Phelipanche sp. G17. RNAcentral's name for it is "partial tRNA-Leu". It matches the Rfam family "tRNA", at positions 18 to 71 of the family's 71-position model. Rfam says of the family: Transfer RNA (tRNA) molecules are approximately 80 nucleotides in length. Their secondary structure includes four short double-helical elements and three loops (D, anti-codon, and T loops). The record is from RNAcentral. Lineage: Eukaryota; Viridiplantae; Streptophyta; Magnoliopsida; Lamiales; Orobanchaceae.
GUAGACGCUACGGACUUAAAAUCCGUCGACUUUAAAAAUCAUGAGGGUUCAAGUCCCUCUAUCCCCA